UCCUACGGGCGGCAGCAGUGGGGAAUAUUGGACAAUGGGCGAAAGCCUGAUCCAGCCAUGCCGCGUGAGUGAUGAAGGCCUUAGGGUUGUAAAGCUCUUUUGUCCGGGAAGAUAAUGACUGUACCGGAAGAAUAAGCCCCGGCUAACUUCGUGCCAGCAGCCGCGGUAAUACGAAGGGGGCUAGCGUUGCUCGGAAUCACUGGGCGUAAAGGGCGCGUAGGCGGACUUUUAAGUCGGAGGUGAAAGCCCAGGGCUCAACCCUGGAAUUGCCUUCGAUACUGGGAGUCUUGAGUUCGGAAGAGGUUGGUGGAACUGCGAGUGUAGAGGUGAAAUUCGUAGAUAUUCGCAAGAACACCGGUGGCGAAGGCGGCCAACUGGUCCGAAACUGACGCUGAGGCGCGAAAGCGUGGGGAGCAAACAGGAUUAGAUACCCUGGUAGUCC
Molecule: ribosomal RNA, 442 nt
Filed under: uncultured Hyphomicrobiales bacterium
Lineage: Bacteria; Pseudomonadati; Pseudomonadota; Alphaproteobacteria; Hyphomicrobiales
Description: bacterial SSU rRNA
Rfam family: Bacterial small subunit ribosomal RNA
Source: RNAcentral